CAGUCGCCACGGUAAUACGAAGGGGGCUAGCGUUGCUCGGAAUGACUGGGCGUAAAGGGCGCGUAGGCGGCGAUCAAAGUCAGGCGUGAAAUUCCUGGGCUCAACCUGGGGGCUGCGCUUGAUACUUGGUUGCUUGAGUGGGGAAGAGGGUCGUGGAAUUCCGGUGUAGCGGUGAAAUGCGUAGAUAUCGGAAAGAACACCUGUGGCGAAGGCGGCGACCUGGUCCUUGACUGACGCUGAGGCGCGAAAGCGUGGGGAGCAAACAGGAUUAGAUACCCGAGUAGUCCCUGUCUCUUAUACA
This 301-nucleotide ribosomal RNA is filed under the name uncultured bacterium. RNAcentral's name for it is "partial 16S ribosomal RNA". It matches the Rfam family "Bacterial small subunit ribosomal RNA", at positions 509 to 808 of the family's 1533-position model. The record is from RNAcentral.